GAGAUUAGAGCAGCCGGAAGACCUAAACCUUGUUGAUGAACGGAUGAUGAAUUGGUUGUAGAGGACUCGCGUUUAAAUAGAUAAACUUGUAAUCAUCACGGUGUGGGUUGUCGUCGUUGAUCGUCGUGGGCGGAUGGGAGGUUUUCGCCGAUAGGUAUGGUUUGCUGUGGAAAAUAGCAAUCUGUUUAUGAAAUGUAGGUGUCGACUCGGUUGAACGGUAGGGU
Molecule: long non-coding RNA, 224 nt
Filed under: Zostera marina
Lineage: Eukaryota; Viridiplantae; Streptophyta; Magnoliopsida; Alismatales; Zosteraceae
Description: long non-coding RNA (ZMAR_LNC005937)
Source: RNAcentral